This 559-nucleotide ribosomal RNA is filed under the name uncultured bacterium. RNAcentral's name for it is "partial 16S ribosomal RNA". It matches the Rfam family "Bacterial small subunit ribosomal RNA", at positions 355 to 902 of the family's 1533-position model. The record is from RNAcentral.
UGGGGAAUAUUGCACAAUGGGCGCAAGCCUGAUGCAGCCAUGCCGCGUGUGUGAAGAAGGCCUUCGGGUUGUAAAGCACUUUCAGCGAGGAGGAAGGUGGUGGACUUAAUACGUUCAUCAAUUGACGUUACUCGCAGAAGAAGCACCGGCUAACUCCGUGCCAGCAGCCGCGGUAAUACGGGAGGGUGCAAGCGUUAAUCGGAAUUACUGGGCGUAAAGCGCACGCAGGCGGUUUGUUAAGUCAGAUGUGAAAUCCCCGGGCUCAACCUGGGAACUGCAUUUGAAACUGGCAAGCUAGAGUCUCGUAGAGGGGGGUAGAAUUCCAGGUGUAGCGGUGAAAUGCGUAGAGAUCUGGAGGAAUACCGGUGGCGAAGGCGGCCCCCUGGACGAAGACUGACGCUCAGGUGCGAAAAGCGUGGGGAGCAAAACAGGAUUAGAUACCCCUGGUAAUCCACGCUGUAAACGAUGUCGAUUUGGAGGUUGUGCCCUUGAGGCGUGGCUUCCGGAGCUAACGCGUUAAAUCGACCGCCUGGGGAGUACGGCCGCAAGGUUAAAACUC